AAGUCGUAACAAGGUUUCCGUAGGUGAACCUGCGGAAGGAUCAUUACCAAUGUUUUCGGGGGACUUCGGUCCCUGUCUGAACCCUUGUCUUUUGCGUACUAUUUGUUUCCUUGGUGGGCUUUUGCCUGCCAAUAGGACACUAUAUCACCCUUUGUAAUUGCAAUCAGCGUCAGAAAAACAUAAUAGUUACAACUUUCAACAACGGAUCUCUUGGUUCUG
Molecule: unclassified non-coding RNA, 219 nt
Filed under: Pyrenochaeta sp.
Lineage: Eukaryota; Fungi; Ascomycota; Dothideomycetes; Pleosporales; Cucurbitariaceae
Also listed under: 1 other name
Description: partial internal transcribed spacer region
Rfam family: Eukaryotic small subunit ribosomal RNA (bases 1-46)
Source: RNAcentral